UCCAUAUCGUUUUUAUUUUAUUUUUCUAGAUAUCUUCAUUAUUUAUUCAGUACAAGAAAUGGUAAAUCUUGAUACACAGAUCAAUAAACAAGAACAUUAACUGUGCCACUAGCUUGGAGGAUCUGGAGUGUGGAUGGUAUUGGCUCCUGAUGGUGAAUAAUCACUGAGCUCUAAAUCUUGUCUGCCAUUACCAAACUCUAUCAUUCUCUGUUUUCCAUUUCAACAAAAAUGAAAAAUCAUAUAUCAAUUCAUUUUCUUUUUCAAUUUAUGAUCAUUAUGCAAUACGUACAUGUACCUUGUGAGAGUGGAAAGAAGAUGACAAACCAUGAUCACUUUGAAGCAGAGCUCCAGCCCCUGUGAUUUCAAGAAACAAUAAUUGACAUCAAUGCUCAUUCUGUAAUUCAAAUGAUAAAUUUUUCAAAAAGAAAAAUCUGCAAUUUGAUUACUCGGUGGUGGUGCUGAGGCAGCAUUAAGCAAGGAGAUAAGGUGAGAAAACACUAGUAGAAUUAAUACUAGUUGAUGAAGGAAGUUGCUCGCCAUUUUUCCAAAUUGAACUUGUGGUUUUUAGAAUCUUAAGGAGAUGAAAACAUAAUGAUGGAUGCUUAAUUUAAUUUUAGAGCAUGUUUUUUGUUUUUGGAUAUUUAUAAUGCAGAGAACCCACCAAAGUCAAAAAUGUUGGGGGAGAAACACUUUGUGUUUUUGGGGG
This 706-nucleotide long non-coding RNA is filed under the name Jatropha curcas. Its description in RNAcentral is "long non-coding RNA (JCUR_LNC000849)". Lineage: Eukaryota; Viridiplantae; Streptophyta; Magnoliopsida; Malpighiales; Euphorbiaceae. The record is from RNAcentral.